UGGCAGGUAGCAGAGCAUGGCUGCCAAGUGUUGGCCUGGCAAGCCGACGACAAGCCCGUCAUCUGGUUCGACGCCGAGCAUGCUGAC
Molecule: transfer RNA, 87 nt
Filed under: Cutibacterium acnes
Lineage: Bacteria; Bacillati; Actinomycetota; Actinomycetes; Propionibacteriales; Propionibacteriaceae
Also listed under: 3 other names
Description: tRNA-Ala
Source: RNAcentral